RNAcentral lists this unclassified non-coding RNA (387 nucleotides) under soil metagenome. RNAcentral describes it as "partial contains 5.8S ribosomal RNA, internal transcribed spacer 2, and large subunit ribosomal RNA". The stretch from base 1 to 120 matches the Rfam family "5.8S ribosomal RNA", at positions 35 to 154 of the family's 154-position model. The record is from RNAcentral.
GAUGAAGAACGCAGCGAAAUGCGAUAAGUAAUGUGAAUUGCAGAGUUCAGUGAAUCAUCGAAUCUUUGAACGCACAUUGCGCCCGUUAGUAUUCUGACGGGCAUGCCUGUCCGAGCGUCAUUAAUUCCACUUAAGCCCUGCUUAGUGUUGGGAAUCUACUCUAGUGGUGCUACCCUGGAGCUACCCCUGAAAGGGGGCUGGCCCGGUAGCUACCCUGUAGUUCCUCAAAGAUAGUGCGCGGAGUUGCGUGGUCCUCUGAGCUUAGUAACUAUACACCUAGCUUUUGAGUGUCCCGCGGCGCCUGCCGUUUAAACCCCAUCUUUUAAUGGUUGACCUCGGAUCAGGUAGGAAUACCCGCUGAACUUAAGCAUAUCAAUAAGCGGAGGA